Molecule: unclassified non-coding RNA, 87 nt
Filed under: Pseudomonas extremaustralis
Lineage: Bacteria; Pseudomonadati; Pseudomonadota; Gammaproteobacteria; Pseudomonadales; Pseudomonadaceae
Source: RNAcentral
CAGUGUGGGGGCUUGCUCCCGAUAGCGGUAUAUCAGUCACAACAUUCCUGACUGAUCCAUUGCAAUCGGGAGCAAGCCCCCUCCCAC